AACGCGAAGAACCUUACCAGCCCUUGACAUGGUCGGACGGUUACCAGAGAUGGUUUCCUUCACUUCGGUGACUGACACACAGGUGCUGCAUGGCUGUCGUCAGCUCGUGUCGUGAGAUGUUGGGUUAAGUCCCGCAACGAGCGCAACCCUCGCCCUUAGUUGCCAUCAUUCAGUUGGGCACUCUAAGGGGACUGCCGGUGAUAAGCCGGAGGAAGGUGGGGAUGACGUCAAGUCUUCAUGGCCCUUACGGGCUGGGCUACACACGUGCUACAAUGGCGGUGACAGAGGGCUGCUAGGCCGCGAGGCCAUGCUAAUCCCUAAAAGCCGUCUCAGUUCGGAUUGCACUCUGCAACUCGGGUGCAUGAAGUCGGAAUCGCUAGUAAUCGCAGAUCAGCACGCUGCGGUGAAUACGUUCCCGGGUCUUGACACACCG
RNAcentral lists this ribosomal RNA (433 nucleotides) under uncultured bacterium. RNAcentral's name for it is "bacterial SSU rRNA". It matches the Rfam family "Bacterial small subunit ribosomal RNA", at positions 958 to 1392 of the family's 1533-position model. The record is from RNAcentral.